GACGAACGCUGGCGGCGUGCUUGACACAUGCAAGUCGAACGGAAAGGCCUGCUUUCCCUUGUGGAUUGCGGGUACUCGAGUGGCGAACGGGUGAGUAACACGUGAGUGAUCUGCCCCCAACUUGGGUAUAAGCCUGGGAAACUGGGUCUAAUUCCCGAUAGGACUGCAGGGUGGUGCCUGUGGUGGAAAACGAUUUUCUAGUGGUUGGGGAUGAGCUCGCGGCCUAUCAGCUUGUUGGUGGGGUAAUGGCCUACCAAGGCGGCGACGGUUAGCCGGCCUGAGAGGGUGGACGGCCACAUUGGGACUGAGAUACGGCCCAGACUCCUACGGGAGGCAGCAGUGGGGAAUAUUGCACAAUGGGCGGAAGCCUGAUGCAGCGACGCCGCGUGGGGGAUGACGGCCUUCGGGUUGUAAACUCCUUUCGACCGCGAGGAAGCCACCUGGUUGGAAGGGUGGUGACGGUAGUGGUAGAAGAAGCACCGGCUAACUACGUG
RNAcentral lists this ribosomal RNA (494 nucleotides) under uncultured bacterium. RNAcentral's name for it is "partial 16S ribosomal RNA". It matches the Rfam family "Bacterial small subunit ribosomal RNA", at positions 28 to 507 of the family's 1533-position model. The record is from RNAcentral.